GUAGGGUGCAAGCGUUAAUCGGAAUUACUGGGCGUAAAGCGUGCGCAGGCGGUCCGCUAAGACAGAUGUGAAACUCCCCGGGCUUAACCGUGGGAACUGCAAUUUGGUGACUGGCGGGCUAGAGUAUGGCAGAGGGGGUAGAAUUCCACGUGUAGCAGUGAAAUGCGUAGAGAUGUGGAGGAAUACCGAUGGCGAAGGCAGCCCCCUGGGCCAAUACUGACGCUCAUGCACGAAAGCGUGGGGGGAGCAAACCAGGAUUAGAUACCCUGGUAGUCCACGCCCUAAACGAUGUCAACAUUGUGGGUCUUCAUUGACUUGGUAAACGUAGCUAACGCGUGAAGUUGACCGCCCUGGGAGUACGGUCGCAAGAUUA
RNAcentral lists this ribosomal RNA (373 nucleotides) under uncultured organism. Its description in RNAcentral is "partial 16S ribosomal RNA". It matches the Rfam family "Bacterial small subunit ribosomal RNA", at positions 527 to 896 of the family's 1533-position model. The record is from RNAcentral.